Molecule: ribosomal RNA, 253 nt
Filed under: uncultured bacterium
Lineage: Bacteria
Description: partial 16S ribosomal RNA
Rfam family: Bacterial small subunit ribosomal RNA
Source: RNAcentral
UACAGAGGGGGCAAGCGUUGUUCGGAAUUACUGGGCGUAAAGGGCGCGUAGGCGGCCCGCUAAGUCGAACGUGAAAUCCCCGGGCUCAACCCGGGAACUGCGUCCGAUACUGGUGGGCUCGAAUCCGGGAGAGGGAUGCGGAAUUCCAGGUGUAGCGGUGAAAUGCGUAGAUAUCGGGAGGAACACCAGUGGCGAAGGCGGCGAUCUGGGAAGAUACUGACGCUGAGGUGCGAAAGCGUGGGGAGCAAACAGG